UACGGAGGGUGCAAGCGUUGUCCGGAAUCACUGGGCGUAAAGGGCGCGUAGGCGGCGCGAUAAGCGUGUGGUGAAAGCCUGGGGCUCAACCCCGGGAGGCGGGUGGAUACUGCUCAGCUCGAGUCCGGAAGAGGAGUGUGGAAUUCCUGGUGUAGCGGUGAAAUGCGCAGAUAUCAGGAGGAACACCAAUGGCGAAGGCAGCUCUCUGGGUCCCUACCGACGCUGGGGUGCGAAAGCAUGGGGAGCGAACAGG
RNAcentral lists this ribosomal RNA (253 nucleotides) under uncultured bacterium. Its description in RNAcentral is "partial 16S ribosomal RNA". It matches the Rfam family "Bacterial small subunit ribosomal RNA", at positions 524 to 776 of the family's 1533-position model. The record is from RNAcentral.